RNAcentral lists this ribosomal RNA (466 nucleotides) under uncultured bacterium. RNAcentral describes it as "partial 16S ribosomal RNA". It matches the Rfam family "Bacterial small subunit ribosomal RNA", at positions 28 to 507 of the family's 1533-position model. The record is from RNAcentral.
GAUGAACGCUGGCGGCGUGCUUAACACAUGCAAGUCGAACGAUGAAGCCCAGCUUGCUGGGUGGAUUAGUGGCGAACGGGUGAGUAACACGUGAGUAACCUGCCCUUGACUCUGGGAUAAGCCUGGGAAACUGGGUCUAAUACUGGAUAUGACUUCUCAUCGCAUGGUGGGGGGUGGAAAGAUUUAUUGGUCUUGGAUGGACUCGCGGCCUAUCAGCUUGUUGGUGAGGUAAUGGCUCACCAAGGCGACGACGGGUAGCCGGCCUGAGAGGGUGACCGGCCACACUGGGACUGAGACACGGCCCAGACUCCUACGGGAGGCAGCAGCGGGGAAUAUUGCACAAUGGGCGCAAGCCUGAUGCAGCGACGCCGCGUGAGGGAUGACGGCCUUCGGGUUGUAAACCUCUUUCAGUAGGGAAGAAGCGAGAGUGACGGUACCUGCAGAAGAAGCGCCGGCUAACUACGUG